This 417-nucleotide ribosomal RNA is filed under the name uncultured bacterium. RNAcentral's name for it is "bacterial SSU rRNA". It matches the Rfam family "Bacterial small subunit ribosomal RNA", at positions 355 to 787 of the family's 1533-position model. The record is from RNAcentral.
UGGGGAAUAUUGCACAAUGGGGGAAAGACCCUGAUGCAGCGACGCCGCGUGAAGGAAGAAGUAUCUCGGUAUGUAAACUUCUAUCAGCAGGGAAGAAAAUGACGGUACCUGACUAAGAAGCCCCGCUACUACGUGCCAGCAGCCGCGGUAAUACGUAGGGGGCGAAGCGUUAUCCGGAUUUACUGGGUGUAAAGGGAGCGUAGACGGAGCAGCAAGUCUGAUGUGAAAAGGGCAGGGGCUCAACCCCUGACUGCAUUGGAAACUGUUGAUCUUGAGUACCGGAGGGGUAAGCGGAAUUCCUAGUGUAGCGGUGAAAUGCGUAGAUAUUAGGAGGAACACCAGUGGCGAAGGCGGCUUACUGGACGGUAACUGACGUUGAGGCUCGAAAGCGUGGGGAGCAAACAGGAUUAGAUACCC